UUUGAUGAAACAUUAUUAUUGAAAACAUCUAUAUUCAUAUUUGUUUUUUUAGACUUUAGCAAAAGUGAUCGCAGCUGUACUUAGGUUUAACGAUGUACAAACUCAGCAAGUUAUACGCAGAGAAGAAGCCAGGCAUCCAACGAAAUAGAUGCUGCAGCAUGAAGUGCCUUCUAAUUGCAUCUAAUGAAGACUAAAUUGAAUACUCACUGGUUGAGUUUUAAUUAGUUGCCUGAUCAAGCAAUCCAAGAUCAUUUUGAGGACCAACAAACAGUGCUUUCUUCCACUUCACUGUCCUCUUUCAAUGGAAUUGCUUCAUCCACCAUUUUGUAAAUCAAUACAUGUUUAUAAAAAUAGUUUUUUUUAAUUAAUUUGAAGAUUAAUAAUAUAUUCAUAAUUAUUUGAAAUGUUUAUUAAAAUUGUUUAUACAAGA
Stegodyphus dumicola is the source of this 430-nucleotide long non-coding RNA. NCBI's taxonomy places the organism in Eukaryota, Metazoa, Arthropoda, Arachnida, Araneae, Eresidae. The record is from RefSeq and is a predicted model, not a curated record.